RNAcentral lists this ribosomal RNA (253 nucleotides) under uncultured bacterium. RNAcentral's name for it is "partial 16S ribosomal RNA". It matches the Rfam family "Bacterial small subunit ribosomal RNA", at positions 524 to 776 of the family's 1533-position model. The record is from RNAcentral.
UACAGAGGGUGCAAGCGUUGCUCGGAAUUAUUGGGCGUAAAGGGCAGGUAGGUGGUCUCAUUUGUCUGGGGUGAAAGCCUUGAGCUUAACUCAAGAAGUGCCCCGGAAACGGUGAGACUGGAGUAUUGGAGAGGGUCGCGGAAUUCCCGGUGUAGCGGUGAAAUGCGUAGAGAUCGGGAGGAACACCAGAGGCGAAGGCGGCGACCUGGGCAAUUACUGACACUCAACUGCGAAAGCGUGGGGAGCAAACAGG